This is a non-coding RNA of Roseivivax lentus, 110 nucleotides long. Lineage: Bacteria; Pseudomonadati; Pseudomonadota; Alphaproteobacteria; Rhodobacterales; Roseobacteraceae. The record is from Rfam.
GGGCACCUACGGGGGCCUAUAUCCGAAGGACGGCAGCAACCGUCCCUCAUCACAUCAAGCGCGGUGCUCCCGAUCGGGGAAAGCCGGGCUGCAUAUACGGAAGACAGAAA